GAUGAACGCUGGCGGCGUGCCUAAUACAUGCAAGUCGAGCGAACAGACGAGGAGCUUGCUCCUCUGACGUUAGCGGCGGACGGGUGAGUAACACGUGGAUAACCUACCUAUAAGACUGGGAUAACUUCGGGAAACCGGAGCUAAUACCGGAUAAUAUAUUGAACCGCAUGGUUCAAUAGUGAAAGACGGUUUUGCUGUCACUUAUAGAUGGAUCCGCGCCGCAUUAGCUAGUUGGCAAGGUAACGGCUUACCAAGGGGACGAUGCGUAGCCGACCUGGGGGGGGGUAGCCCCCCUGUGAAGCUGACCACCGACCCUGGCCCUUCGGGACGGCCCAGGCUGCUACUCUCCGCAGCAGGGGGGAAGCUUGCCGAAGCGCCGCCGGCCGGGUGAAGAAGCGCCGCGUGCGGUAAAACUCUUUUCUGGGGGAAAACCAAUUGUGCCUGUAACUAAGCCCGUCUGACGGUAACCGAUAAAGAAGCCCCGGCUAACUACGUG
RNAcentral lists this ribosomal RNA (496 nucleotides) under uncultured bacterium. RNAcentral describes it as "partial 16S ribosomal RNA". It matches the Rfam family "Bacterial small subunit ribosomal RNA", at positions 28 to 507 of the family's 1533-position model. The record is from RNAcentral.